GAUAAACGCUGGCGGCGUGCUUAACACAUGCCAGUCGAACGAAGUUUUUCCUUCGGGAGCAACUUAGUGGCGGACGGGUGAGUAACGCGUGGGUAACCUGCCCUGUACAGGGGGACAACAGCUGGAAACGGCUGCUAAUACCGCAUAAGCCCUUAGCACUGCAUGGUGCAUAGGGAAAAGGAGCAAUCCGGUACAGGAUGGACCCGCGUCUGAUUAGCCAGUUGGCAGGGUAACGGCCUACCAAAGCGACGAUCAGUAGCCGAUCUGAGAGGAUGUACGGCCACAUUGGGACUGAGACACGGCCCAGACUCCUACGGGAGGCAGCAGUGGGGAAUAUUGCACAAUGGAGGAAACUCUGAUGCAGCGACGCCGCGUGAGUGAAGAAGUAUUUCGGUAUGUAAAGCUCUAUCAGCAGGGAAGAAAAUGACGGUACCUGACUAAGAAGCACCGGCUAAAUACGUG
RNAcentral lists this ribosomal RNA (462 nucleotides) under uncultured bacterium. Its description in RNAcentral is "partial 16S ribosomal RNA". It matches the Rfam family "Bacterial small subunit ribosomal RNA", at positions 28 to 507 of the family's 1533-position model. The record is from RNAcentral.